GUUCGACUCGAGCGAAAGCGAGAGAACGUUGCCAACGGCAACGGCCCGAAGGGUGAGGAGCGAAGCGACGAAUAAUCCUUCCCCCACCACCA
This 92-nucleotide small RNA is filed under the name Citrobacter freundii. RNAcentral's name for it is "partial RtT sRNA". It matches the Rfam family "RtT RNA", at positions 41 to 130 of the family's 130-position model. Rfam says of the family: This family represents a bacterial cis-regulatory element known as RtT RNA. The exact function of RtT is unknown although it is thought that it may be involved in changing the cellular response in relation to amino acid starvation. The record is from RNAcentral. Lineage: Bacteria; Pseudomonadati; Pseudomonadota; Gammaproteobacteria; Enterobacterales; Enterobacteriaceae.